UACAGAGGUCCCAAGCGUUGUUCGGAUUCAUUGGGCGUAAAGGGUGCGUAGGUGGCGUCGUAAGUCGGGGGUGAAAUCUCGGGGCUUAACUCCGAAACUGCAUUCGAUACUGCGGUGCUUGAGGACUGGAGAGGAGACUGGAAUUUACGGUGUAGCGGUGAAAUGCGUAGAUAUUGGGAGGAACACCAGUGGCGAAGGCGGCUCACUGGACCGGAACUGACGCUGAGGCGCGAAAGCGUGGGGAGCAAACAGG
RNAcentral lists this ribosomal RNA (253 nucleotides) under uncultured bacterium. Its description in RNAcentral is "partial 16S ribosomal RNA". It matches the Rfam family "Bacterial small subunit ribosomal RNA", at positions 524 to 776 of the family's 1533-position model. The record is from RNAcentral.